Molecule: ribosomal RNA, 428 nt
Filed under: uncultured archaeon
Lineage: Archaea
Description: bacterial SSU rRNA
Rfam family: Archaeal small subunit ribosomal RNA
Source: RNAcentral
UACCAGCUCUCCGAGUUGUAGGGAUGAUUAUUGGGCUUAAAGCGUCCGUAGCUGGCUUAGCAAGUCUCCUGUUAAAUUCAGCGACCUAAUCGUUGAGCCGCGGGAGAUACUACUAGGCUAGGAGGCGGGAGAGGUCGACGGUACUUUCGGGGUAGGGGUGAAAUCCUAUAAUCCCGGGAGGACCACCAGUGGCGAAGGCUGUCGACUAGAACGCGCUCGACGGUGAGGGACGAAAGCGGGGGGAGCGAACCGGAUUAGAUACCCGGGUAGUCCCAGCUGUAAAUUAUGCGGGCUAGGUGUUGGGGUGGCUACGGGCCACUUCAGUGCCGCAGGAAAGCCAUUAAGCCCGCCGCCUGGGGAGUACGGCCGCAAGGCUGAAACUUAAAGGAAUUGGCGGGGAGCACCACAAGGCGUGAAGCUUGCGGUUC